This 456-nucleotide ribosomal RNA is filed under the name Triticum aestivum (bread wheat). RNAcentral describes it as "partial small subunit ribosomal RNA". The record is from RNAcentral. Lineage: Eukaryota; Viridiplantae; Streptophyta; Magnoliopsida; Poales; Poaceae.
AUGGAGGCAUCGAAACGGUUUUUGAUGGGAUAUUUGGACUCCUUGAUAUCGCUCAAAUAUUCAGAUGAGGAGCUUCUGAAAGAUGGGAAGGCAGGAGCUGGCAUGGUCCUCCGAGACAACAAGGGCCAGAUCAUAUAUACAUCAUGCAGGGAGCUCUUUUCAUGCAGGAAUGCAUUGGAGUCUGAACUAAGUGCAUGUAUGGAGGGUCUCUCACUAGCAAUUAAGAGAACGGAGCUACCUAUUCAGGUCGAAAUGGACUCACGGGAGGCCUUGAACAUGAUCACAAAUGAUUCGCCUGAUAGGUCACUGUUCUCAUCAUUGGUAAAGGAAAUCAAGCACCUGAGGAGUCUUCGUAAUACUAUUUUCAAAACCAAGAGUAGAACAGUAGUGUGGCUUAACUCUGGUUUAUCAGAGGUCAUUGAACUUUGUAAUGCAGACUGUGGACUUACCACUUGA